CGGCCCAGCACGGAGGCGCACAGCCACACCCUCCUCUGUCUAGAGAGCUGGUUCCCAGCCACUGUCGUCUGACCGCUUGGGACAAAGCAGUGGCUGCUGGGCGUGACUGGGAGCUUGGGGAGCCAGGACUCCUGUCCUCAGGCCCCACGCUGCAGCUCGCCUGGAGCCAGCGUGGACCAGGGACGACCUGACCGCCUCCGAGAGCGCACAGCUGGGCGCCUGGGACCUGUCUUUGGUCACCAGGGUGAGGGGGACAAUCUUCUCUUGAGGAUCCUCAGGCUUCGCCCUGCCAGUUGCUUGGCUGUUUUGCGUGCCAUGGAGCUCACUCUAUCUGUAAUAGAGGGCCGACCUCCCCUGGGAAACUGAUACUGGAGAGUCUUGGCAAGAAACACACGAAGGACACUGACGGCACUGAUAAAUGCCAUCAAACAUUAAACAUGAAAAUAUAAUCAAAAUACACGAAGGAGAAAACUGCUCACUCUCAGAGUCCUCUGAAGAACUGGGAUGUGUGUACACCAAAAUUUUGCAUUGUGCCAGGCCUGGUGGUCGCAGUUGUGAUCCCAGCUACUUGGGAAUCUGAAGAGGAUCACCACAAGUUCAAGGCCAAAUGGGGUAACUUCACAAACUCUGUCUCAAAAAAAGAAGAAGA
Molecule: long non-coding RNA, 649 nt
Filed under: Fukomys damarensis (Damara mole-rat)
Lineage: Eukaryota; Metazoa; Chordata; Mammalia; Rodentia; Bathyergidae
Description: lncRNA (ENSFDAG00000024810.1)
Source: RNAcentral